Non-coding RNA from Castor canadensis (American beaver), 439 nucleotides. Lineage: Eukaryota; Metazoa; Chordata; Mammalia; Rodentia; Castoridae. The record is from RefSeq and is a predicted model, not a curated record.
UGGUUCAGUGGCCUGGUGGUCGAAUUCUGCAUCGCCAUGAACUAGACACCUUCCUUGCACAGGCAGUGUCAACCCAGCUUUAUGAACCAGAUCAACUCCAAGAACUGAAGAUUGAGAAACUGGAUGCCCGAGGGAUCCAGCUUGCUGCCCUGUUCAUGAGUGGGGUCGACACAGCUCUGUUUGCUAAUGAUGCCUGUGGCCAGCCAGUCCCUUGGGAGCAUUGCUGCCCCUGGAUUUACUUUGAUGGCAAGCUGUUCCAGAGCAAGCUUAUUAAAGCAGGCCGAGAGCGAGUAUCCCUGGUUGAACUCUGUGAUGGCCAGGCUGACCUGGCAACCAAAGGGAAAAGAUGAGACAGAGUAUCCGUUGAAGGAGUCACAUGAAUCAUCCACCACCUUCUGCUCUACUUCCAUCACCUACUUUUUGUGCCUCCAUGGUGCCC